RNAcentral lists this transfer RNA (67 nucleotides) under Marmota monax (woodchuck). RNAcentral describes it as "tRNA.Ala". Lineage: Eukaryota; Metazoa; Chordata; Mammalia; Rodentia; Sciuridae. The record is from RNAcentral.
GGAUUGUGGCUCAGUGGUAGAGCACUUGCCUAGCAUGGGUGGGCCCUGGGUUCGAUCCUCAGCACCA